AUUCCGUGAUGAGGGAACUUUUGUAAUAACUCUUUGAAUCUUUCCCAUGCCUCAUACAAGGAUUUAUCAUCCAUUUUUUGGAAAGCAAUAAUCUCAUUUCUCAGCUU
Molecule: small nucleolar RNA, 107 nt
Filed under: Gossypium hirsutum (cotton)
Lineage: Eukaryota; Viridiplantae; Streptophyta; Magnoliopsida; Malvales; Malvaceae
Description: Plant small nucleolar RNA R71
Rfam family: Plant small nucleolar RNA R71
About the family: R71 is a member of the C/D box family of snoRNAs containing the C (UGAUGA) and D (CUGA) box motifs.
Source: Rfam by way of RNAcentral